CUCCCCCGUUCGCUGACCCCAGGUUCGAUUAGCGCCAAUUAGGCGCCACCUCGCCAAGAACCAGCUUCGGUGAAGCGACGGGCGGUGUGUGCAAGGGAG
This 99-nucleotide ribosomal RNA is filed under the name uncultured archaeon. Its description in RNAcentral is "partial 16S ribosomal RNA". The record is from RNAcentral.